This 300-nucleotide ribosomal RNA is filed under the name uncultured Lactobacillus sp. RNAcentral's name for it is "bacterial SSU rRNA". It matches the Rfam family "Bacterial small subunit ribosomal RNA", at positions 495 to 795 of the family's 1533-position model. The record is from RNAcentral. Lineage: Bacteria; Bacillati; Bacillota; Bacilli; Lactobacillales; Lactobacillaceae.
GGUAAGCCCAGGGCAGGAGCCGCGGUAGAACGGCGGGGGCAAGCUGUAAGCGGCAUAACUGGGCUGAAAGCGCACGCAGGCGGUUAGAGAAGUCAGAUGUGAAAGCCCCGGGCUCAACCUUGGAACUGCAUUUGAAACGGUCUGACUAGAGUCUUGUAGAGGGGGGUAGAAUUCCAGGUGUAGCGGUGAAAUGCGUAGAGAUCUGGAGGAAUACCGGUGGCGAAGGCGGCCCCCUGGACAAAGACUGACGCUCAGGUGCGAAAGCGUGGGGAGCAAACAGGAUUAGAUACGCGGGUAGUC